ACAGAAAUGGGCGGGACGACGUGGUGGUCUUAUCAUAACCCUUUGUAGGCCCCGCAAGGGGUACCUGGCGCGACUGUAAACAAUGGGAGCGGGUAUUAAAUCGCAAGUCGGCUCCUGCCGGCAACACUUUCGAAUUGCGGGGACACCCUUAAGCCCGCCUCUACCAACCGGUCAGGGAAACCUGGCCGGGGCCGCUGCUAACAGCAGCGGGUAUGGUCAGAAGGAGGCGGGAUUGGGUAAUCCGCAGCCAAAUCCCUAAGGCGUCCCGCGGCGCUACGGGAGAGGUUCACAGACUAAGUGGAAGUGGGCCGCCCUGCGCGGCUUAAGAUAUAGUCGGGCCCCUUGCGAGAGCUUGGGGGAGUCACUGUUCCGUAGGUGAACCUGCGGAAGGAUCAUUAAACAGUGGGCUUGUCCCGCGCCACGCUCCGCCUGGGCUCCGGCCCGGUGGAAGUGUGAACCAACUGUGAACCAAAAAACUUUAGCUCAGGCAGCCUGUCCGAUAGGGUCCCCCCCGAACCGGGCUGUCAGCCUGCCUGUGGCACUCACCAAACCAAGCCUUCUGUGCCGUCUGGUGUGAUCUUUCUGAAUGGAAAAUCAAAACUUUCAACAACGGAUCUCUUGGUUCUCGCAUCGAUGAAGAACGCAGCGAAACGCGAUAGUUAAUGUGAAUUGCAGAAUUCAGUGAAUCAUCGAGUCUUUGAACGCACAUUGCGCCCUCCGGCAUUCCGGAGGGCAUGUCUGUUUGAGCGUCAUGUCAACCCUCGCCCCCAACGGCGGUUUUGGGCACCGGCUUAGCUGACGGGCCUGAAAGUUGAACGCUCCGCGGGCGGCUGCUCCGGCGAACGUGGUGGAUAACUUCCGUUCCAAACCGGUCGCGGCCUGCCCACGUGAACAAGAACCCAAUGCAAGUCAGUCAUCGGAUCAGGCAGAAUACAUUUAGCCUC
Molecule: ribosomal RNA, 944 nt
Filed under: Orbilia laevimarginata
Lineage: Eukaryota; Fungi; Ascomycota; Orbiliomycetes; Orbiliales; Orbiliaceae
Description: eukaryotic LSU rRNA
Rfam family: 5.8S ribosomal RNA (bases 599-752)
Source: RNAcentral